This 522-nucleotide ribosomal RNA is filed under the name uncultured Weissella sp. Its description in RNAcentral is "bacterial SSU rRNA". It matches the Rfam family "Bacterial small subunit ribosomal RNA", at positions 28 to 507 of the family's 1533-position model. The record is from RNAcentral. Lineage: Bacteria; Bacillati; Bacillota; Bacilli; Lactobacillales; Lactobacillaceae.
GACGAACGCUGGCGGCGUGCCUAAUACAUGCAAGUCGAACGCUUUGUCUUUAAUUGAUAUGAAGAGCUUGCUCUGAUUUGAUUUUAUCUGACAAAGAGUGGCGAACGGGUGAGUAACACGUGGGUAACCUACCUCUUAGCAGGGGAUAACAUUUGGAAACAAGUGCUAAUACCGUAUAAUACUAACAACCGCAUGGUUGUUAGUUGAAAGAUGGUUCUGCUAUCACUAAGAGAUGGACCCGCGGUGCAUUAGCUAGUUGGUAAGGUAAUGGCUUACCAAGGCGAUGAUGCGUAGCCGAGUUGAGAGACUGAUCGGCCACAAUGGGACUGAGACACGGCCCAUACUCCUACGGGAGGCAGCAGUAGGGAAUCUUCCACAAUGGGCGCAAGCCUGAUGGAGCAACGCCGCGUGUGUGAUGAAGGGUUUCGGCUCGUAAAACACUGUUAUAAGAGAAGAACGACAUUGAGAGUAACUGUUCAGUGUGUGACGGUAUCUUAUCAGAAAGGAACGGCUAAAUACGUG